RNAcentral lists this ribosomal RNA (407 nucleotides) under uncultured bacterium. RNAcentral describes it as "partial 16S ribosomal RNA". It matches the Rfam family "Bacterial small subunit ribosomal RNA", at positions 28 to 526 of the family's 1533-position model. The record is from RNAcentral.
GACGAACGCUGGCGGCGUGCCUAAUACAUGCAAGUAGGACGCAGUUGCGAACGGGUGAGUAACACGUAGGUAACUACCUACUAGAGGGGGAUAACUAUUUGAAACGAUAGCUAAUACCGCAUACUAGUAGAUGGACAUACGUUGUAUUAGAUAGUAGGUAGGGUAAAGGCCUACCUAGGCAACGAGACAUAGCCGACCUGGUAGGGUGAUCGGGCACACUGGGACUUGGACACGGCCCAGAAUCCCACGGGAGGCAGCAGUAGGGAAUCUUCGGCAAUGGGGGGAACCCUGACCGAGCAACGCCGCGUGAGUGAAGAAGGUUUUCGGAUCGUAAAGCUCUGUUGUUAAGGAAGCGGUACUUAACCAGAAAGGGACGGCUAACUACGUGCCAGCAGCCGCGGUAAUUC